CUUUAAUUAGGAGAUAAUUGAGUCAAGCACUAUAGUAAACUCAAUUAUCUCCAAACACAAAAAAACACACAUUUCUAAAAAGUCCCCAAAGUACCCCAAAACACAUAACAUCCCCUGAUAGCACUGAUCUGGGUAACCAACAUAUCCAAAAACUACAAAGAUCUGUUCAGGGGUUUAGAAAUUCUAUAGAAGUCAUUUAUA
Molecule: non-coding RNA, 201 nt
Organism: Pelobates cultripes (western spadefoot toad)
Lineage: Eukaryota; Metazoa; Chordata; Amphibia; Anura; Pelobatidae
Source: the annotation of a GenBank genome assembly